Non-coding RNA from Crepidotus variabilis, 103 nucleotides. The record is from the annotation of a GenBank genome assembly. NCBI's taxonomy places the organism in Eukaryota, Fungi, Basidiomycota, Agaricomycetes, Agaricales, Crepidotaceae.
AGCAGCAUGGCGCAGAGGUAGCGCGCAGGGCCCAUAUCUCGGAAACUCCAAGUUUCUACGGUUGGAAACCCUGAGGUCACUCGAUCGAAACGAGUUGCUGCUA